AGUGUGUUGUGUGUAGUGUUGUGUGUAGUGUGAAGUGUGUGUGUAGGUAGUUUGUAUGUAGUGUGUGUGUCUGUGAAGUGUGUGUGUGUGUGUGUGUGUGUAUGUGUGUGCAGUGUGUGUGGUGUGUGUGUAUGCAGUGUGUGUGUGUGUGUGUGUGUGUGCAAUGUGUGUGCAGUGUGUGUGUGUGUGCAACGUGUGUGCAGUGUGUGUGUCUGUGCAAUAUGUGUGCGGUGUGUGUGUGUGUGUGUGCAGUGUGUGUGUGCAGCGGUGAAGUGAAGAGAGAGCUGCUGGGAUGGUUGAAUCAUCCCUUCAUCAUCAGAGAGAGGUCCCCGGGAGUUCAUCUCCUGUGUGUGUGUGUGUGUGUAGCGUGUAUCCGUGUGUCUUCAUCUAAAGGGGAUAUCGGAGUCAUCAGCAUUACCGUAUGACUGGAGUUAUCAUUUCUGUGUGAUUCACAGGGUUUAAGUUGUAAUAAUGAUCACAGGUGUCAUGUACAGGGUUCAGGAGUACAGAGAGAGAGAGAGCUUCCCCAAGGCAUUUGGCAAUGAUAACAAUACCGUCCCAGACUGUAAUACUUCCUGAUCUGUAGCUAGGAAGACCUCACAUCAACGCAUGAAGAAAAAGGAGACUGAUAUGCUAAUCCUAAAACUGGAGAAUACUGGAGCUAAGACAUACUAAAGGACUGGAUGGCUGGCACAUGUUAUAAUGCUGCUCCCCAGUGCUUUUUAUUUCUGCAUACACAUUUAUUUAAAAAUAAUUAUUUUACUAGGCAAGUCAGUUAAGAACAAAUUCUUAUUUUCAAUGACGGCCUACGGGGGCAACAGUGGGUUAACUGCCUUGUUCAGGAGCAGAACGACAGAUUUUUACCUUGUCAGCUCGGGGAUUCCAUCGAGCAACCUAUCGGUUACUAGUCCAACGCUUUUACCCCGCCGCCCCUAACCACUAGGCUACCCUGCCUCCCCCUCUAACCACUAGGCUACCUGCCUCCCCCUCUAACCACUAGGCUACCUGCCUCCCCCCUCUAACCACUAGGCUACCUGCCUCCCCCCUCUAACCACUAGGCUACCCCGCCACCCCUAACCACUAGGCUACCCCGCCACCCCUAACCACUAGGCUACCCACCUCCUCUAACCACUAGGCUACCCCGCCACCACUAACCACUAGGCUACCCCGCCACCCCUAACCACUAGGCUACCCACCUCCCCUAACCACUAGGCUACCCCGCCACCCCUAACCACUAGGCUACCCACCUCCCCUAACCACUAGGCUACCCCGCCUCCCCUAACCACUAGGCUACCCCGCCUCCCCUAACCACUAGGCUACCCCGCCUCCCCUAACCACUAGGCUACCCCACCUCCCCUAACCACUAGGCUACC
This 1373-nucleotide long non-coding RNA is filed under the name Salmo salar (Atlantic salmon). RNAcentral's name for it is "lncRNA (ENSSSAG00000085059.1)". Lineage: Eukaryota; Metazoa; Chordata; Actinopteri; Salmoniformes; Salmonidae. The record is from RNAcentral.